Molecule: long non-coding RNA, 354 nt
Filed under: Mytilus galloprovincialis (Mediterranean mussel)
Lineage: Eukaryota; Metazoa; Mollusca; Bivalvia; Mytilida; Mytilidae
Source: RNAcentral
AUUGAAGACCUGUUGGUGACCCUCUGCUGUUGUUUUUUAUUUGGUCGGGUUGUUGUCUCUUUGACACAUUCCCCAUUUCCAUUCUCAAUUUUAUUUUGCAAACAGUAAAUUUAUAAAAUUACUAUACAAAAGAUGUACAUGAUGAAACUGAAGUAUUAACUAAUUACAGGAAACAACUGAAAUACAUUACAUAACCAGACAUUUGCAACACAAAAUGUAGACACAUCCGAAUAAGUUUAAACCUCAACGCCAAGUGACGUCAUAUUUGAAAUUGUAAAAAAUGACAAAAAAAUGACGUCAUUUGAAUUUGUAAAACAGAUCAUUAAAAAAUGAAAAAUGACGUCACAUUUGAAU